UCACUCCUACGGGAGGCAGCAGUGGGGAAUAUUGCACAAUGGGCGCAAGCCUGAUGCAGCCAUGCCGCGUGUAUGAAGAAGGCCUUCGGGUUGUAAAGUACUUUCAGCAGUGAGGAAGGCAGGUACGUUAAUAGCGUGCUUGUUUGACGUUAGCUGCAGAAGAAGCACCGGCUAACUCCGUGCCAGCAGCCGCGGUAAUACGGAGGGUGCGAGCGUUAAUCGGAAUUACUGGGCGUAAAGCGCAUGCAGGUGGUUUGUUAAGUCAGAUGUGAAAGCCCGGGGCUCAACCUCGGAAUUGCAUUUGAAACUGGCAGACUAGAGUACUGUAGAGGGGGUAGAAUUUCAGGUGUAGCGGUGAAAAUGCGUAGAGAUCUGAAGGAAUACCGGUGGCGAAGGCGGCCCCCUGGACAGAUACUGACACUCAGAUGCGAAAGCGUGGGGAGCAAACAGGAUUAGAUACCCUGGUAG
Molecule: ribosomal RNA, 468 nt
Filed under: uncultured bacterium
Lineage: Bacteria
Description: bacterial SSU rRNA
Rfam family: Bacterial small subunit ribosomal RNA
Source: RNAcentral